UACGUAGGGUGCAAGCGUUAUCCGGAAUUAUUGGGCGUAAAGAGCUCGUAGGCGGUUUGUCGCGUCUGCUGUGAAAACCGGAGGCUCAACCUCCGGCCUGCAGUGGGUACGGGCAAACUAGAGUGCGGUAGGGGAGAUUGGAAUUCCUGGUGUAGCGGUGGAAUGCGCAGAUAUCAGGAGGAACACCGAUGGCGAAGGCGGAUCUCUGGGCCGUAACUGACGCUGAGGAGCGAAAGCAUGGGGAGCGAACAGG
Molecule: ribosomal RNA, 253 nt
Filed under: uncultured bacterium
Lineage: Bacteria
Description: partial 16S ribosomal RNA
Rfam family: Bacterial small subunit ribosomal RNA
Source: RNAcentral